GGGUGGGGGUGCAAGGGGGUGGUUAGAGAGCUUGAGAAGCCGACAUGCAGUCCCCCAGCUCUUCCCUGGGGAGGGCCCAAGGAGUCGGUGAUAGACCCCUCCCUGAAAGAAGAAAACCUGCCCCCAUAGGAAUGCAAAAGAGAACUAUCACCAGUAGAAAAAAGAGAAGGGCCUGCUGCGAUUCAGCCUUCAAUCUCCCACCCCUUGCCAGAGCAGAGCCAGCCCUCCCCCCAACGCUCUCCCAGUCUCUCAGGCCACGAUCCUUCCUCCUUUCUCUCCUCCCUUCCUCCCAGAUUCUUUUCUGCCUUAUUCCUCAUUCUCUUGUAUUUUCUCCCACCCCUUAGUCCCUCUUCAUGCUUUCCAACCCAACUUUGAUUUUUCUCUCCCUCUAUUUUUUCUUUCUUUCUUUCUUUCUUUCUUCUUUCUUUCUUUCUUUCUUUUUUUUCCUUCCUUCCUUCCUUCCUUCCUUCCUUCUUUCCUUCUUUUUUCUUUCUUCCUUUCCUUUCCUUUCCUUUCCUUUCCUUUCCUUUCCUUCCUCCCUCUCUCCUCAGUGCUCUCCUUCUCUCCUUACCAUACAAAUGUAGCAGCUGGCAUGCCACAUUUGGAUGAAAGCUUUUGGAAAAUCUCAGCUUGCCCUCUUCUCCCCAACAUUCUCAAACCUACAGAUCCCUCUUGGCUCAGCCCCCAUUCCCUGGCACCAAUGUGUCCAAAAAUGGUCAUGAGUUGGCACAAUGGAGGUGGAGGGAAUGGGGAAGAUGCAGCAUCCAUUCGUGGAAGGAGGGUCUUAGAGGGUGGGGUUAAUGCCACCCAGAGUGGAGCAGAGAUGAAUGGAGAUUGUUACCAAAGA
Molecule: long non-coding RNA, 847 nt
Filed under: Vulpes vulpes (red fox)
Lineage: Eukaryota; Metazoa; Chordata; Mammalia; Carnivora; Canidae
Description: lncRNA (ENSVVUG00000018422.1)
Source: RNAcentral